UACAGAGGGGGCAAGCGUUGUUCGGAAUUACUGGGCGUAAAGGGCGCGUAGGCGGCCUGUUAAGUCGAACGUGAAAUCCCCGGGCUCAACCCGGGAACUGCGUCCGAUACUGGCUGGCUUGAAUCCGGGAGAGGGAUGCGGAAUUCCAGGUGUAGCGGUGAAAUGCGUAGAUAUCUGGAGGAACACCGGUGGCGAAGGCGGCAUCCUGGACCGGUAUUGACGCUGAGGCGCGAAAGCCAGGGGAGCAAACGGGAUUAGAUACCCCGGUAGUCCUGGCCCUAAACGAUGAAUGCUUGGUGUGGUGGGUAUCGAUCCCUACCGUGCCGAAGCUAACGCAUUAAGCAUUCCGCCUGGGGAGUACGGUCGCAAGAUUA
Molecule: ribosomal RNA, 374 nt
Filed under: uncultured prokaryote
Description: bacterial SSU rRNA
Rfam family: Bacterial small subunit ribosomal RNA
Source: RNAcentral